RNAcentral lists this small RNA (250 nucleotides) under Arabidopsis thaliana (thale cress). Its description in RNAcentral is "ATSL207730". The record is from RNAcentral. Lineage: Eukaryota; Viridiplantae; Streptophyta; Magnoliopsida; Brassicales; Brassicaceae.
ACUUUACCACUUCCUAAUCUCAAGUCUCGUUGAUGAAAUAUAGCAAAGCAGGUUUUAAGCAACAAUCUAUUAAAGUCAAUAAGCAGUCUAAACAUCCAAUCGUUUGCGCUAGAAUCUACAAAUCUCUGGAAUUCGUAGAUCAGACAUCCAUUUGAACGUCUUUUGGACGCUGGAAUACCUUGGGUCGAAUUUCAAACUAAACUGAGUGAAAUAAGCGUUAGGGUCAACGAAUCUAGAAGGGAUCUAACCU